AACGAACGCUGGCGGCAUGCCUAACACAUGCAAGUCGAACGAGAUCCUUCGGGGUCUAGUGGCGCACGGGUGCGUAACGCGUGGGAAUCUGCCCUUAGGUUCGGAAUAACAGUUAGAAAUGACUGCUAAUACCGGAUGAUGACGUUAAGUCCAAAGAUUUAUCGCCUGAGGAUGAGCCCGCGUAGGAUUAGCUAGUUGGUGUGGUAAAGGCGCACCAAGGCGACGAUCCUUAGCUGGUCUGAGAGGAUGAUCAGCCACACUGGGACUGCGACACGGCCCAGACUCCUACGAGAGGCAGCAGUGGGGAAUAUUGGACAAUGGGCGCAAGCCUGAGCCAGCAAGGCCGCGUGAGUGAUGAAGGCCUUAGGGUUGUAAAGCUCUUUUACCCGAGAUGAUAAUGACAGUAUCGGGAGAAUAAGCCCCGGCUAACUCCGU
Molecule: ribosomal RNA, 435 nt
Filed under: uncultured bacterium
Lineage: Bacteria
Description: partial 16S ribosomal RNA
Rfam family: Bacterial small subunit ribosomal RNA
Source: RNAcentral